GGGGGCGAUUUGGAUUCGACCGGAUGAAUAGAAGCAUGGCUUGCGUGUCGUGGUUGAUCAGUUGGCCACGUAAAAAGCUGAUCACAAUUUUUAAUUGCUAACGAAAGUUUCGCAAUGGCCGCCUAAGAACAGGUAGCCCGGACUGAUGGGGACCGCCAGAGUCGCCUGAAUGUCCGUCACAAUUCUGGAUCGCCCACUGUCCUACUCGAGACGUAGCGGGUUAAAAAAGAUUCGAGUUAGCGGAGUGCGGAACCUGUCAAACAGUGCCGUAUGAAGCGAACAGGUUUCUUCGAGAAACUAUAAAUAGUUUGACUACACACGUAGACGGUCCUGUGGAUGCAUCGCGGGACGCGGGUUCAAUUCCCGCCGCCUCCA
RNAcentral lists this transfer-messenger RNA (375 nucleotides) under Novipirellula herctigrandis. RNAcentral describes it as "Planctomycetes bacterium CA13 transfer-messenger RNA, SsrA". It matches the Rfam family "transfer-messenger RNA". From Rfam's summary of the family: Bacterial tmRNA, also known as 10Sa RNA or SsrA, is named for its dual tRNA and mRNA-like properties. Its role is to liberate the mRNA from a stalled ribosome. To accomplish this part of the tmRNA is used as a reading frame that ends in a translation stop signal. Lineage: Bacteria; Pseudomonadati; Planctomycetota; Planctomycetia; Pirellulales; Pirellulaceae. The record is from RNAcentral.